AUUUGGCAGACUCAUGAUUACCCAUCCUGGCAAAUACGUUAUGGAUGACGGACAACUGUUCGGGUUUCAGAUGAGUGGCUCAGUGUAUGCGCCAAUAGCUCAUUAACGGGCUUUAAACCCCAGGACAGAACAGGCUGCAUACACCGUGCCAAAUCUAAU
RNAcentral lists this small RNA (159 nucleotides) under Xenorhabdus vietnamensis. RNAcentral describes it as "sX15". The record is from RNAcentral. Lineage: Bacteria; Pseudomonadati; Pseudomonadota; Gammaproteobacteria; Enterobacterales; Morganellaceae.